GACGAACGCUGGCGGCGUGCCUAAUACAUGCAAGUUGAGCGCUGAAGGUUGGUACUUGUACCAACUGGAUGAGCAGCGAACGAGUGAGUAACGCGUGGGGAAUCUGCCUUUGAGCGGGGGACAACAUUUGGAAACGAAUGCUAAUACCGCAUAAAAACUUUAAACACAAGUUUUAAGUUUGAAAGAUGCAAUUGCAUCACUCAAAGAUGAUCCCGCGUUGUAUUAGCUAGUUGGUGAGGUAAAGGCUCACCAAGGCGAUGAUACAUAGCCGACCUGAGAGGGUGAUCGGCCGCAUUGGGACUGAGACACGGCCCAAACUCCUACGGGAGGCAGCAGUAGGGAAUCUUCGGCAAUGGACGAAAGUCUGACCGAGCAACGCCGCGUGAGUGAAGAAGGUUUUCGGAUCGUAAAACUCUGUUGGUAGAGAAGAACGUUGGUGAGAGUGGAAAGCUCAUCAAGUGACGGUAACUACCCAGAAAGGGACGGCUAACUACGUG
Molecule: ribosomal RNA, 497 nt
Filed under: uncultured bacterium
Lineage: Bacteria
Description: partial 16S ribosomal RNA
Rfam family: Bacterial small subunit ribosomal RNA
Source: RNAcentral